RNAcentral lists this microRNA precursor (125 nucleotides) under Myotis lucifugus (little brown bat). RNAcentral's name for it is "mir-9193 microRNA precursor family". It matches the Rfam family "mir-9193 microRNA precursor family". The record is from Rfam by way of RNAcentral. Lineage: Eukaryota; Metazoa; Chordata; Mammalia; Chiroptera; Vespertilionidae.
CGUGCACUGGUGGGGUCCCACAGCCUGGCCUGUGUCCUCUUACAAUCCGGGACCCCUCGGGAUCUCAGAGAGCCAGUUUCAGCCUAAUACCCGCAGGCCAGGCUGAGGGACUCCACCAGUGCACA